RNAcentral lists this ribosomal RNA (631 nucleotides) under uncultured bacterium. RNAcentral describes it as "bacterial SSU rRNA". It matches the Rfam family "Bacterial small subunit ribosomal RNA", at positions 552 to 1182 of the family's 1533-position model. The record is from RNAcentral.
GACUGGGCGUAAAGCGCGCGUAGGUGGCUUGAUAAGCCGGUUGUGAAAGCCCCGGGCUCAACCUGGGAACGGCAUCCGGAACUGUCAGGCUAGAGUGCAGGAGAGGAAGGUAGAAUUCCCGGUGUAGCGGUGAAAUGCGUAGAGAUCGGGAGGAAUACCAGUGGCGAAGGCGGCCUUCUGGACUGACACUGACACUGAGGUGCGAAAGCGUGGGUAGCAAACAGGAUUAGAUACCCUGGUAGUCCACGCCGUAAACGAUGUCGACUAGCCGUUGGGUUCCUUGAGGACUUAGUGGCGCAGUUAACGCGAUAAGUCGACCGCCUGGGGAGUACGGCCGCAAGGUUAAAACUCAAAUGAAUUGACGGGGGCCCGCACAAGCGGUGGAGCAUGUGGUUUAAUUCGAUGCAACGCGAAGAACCUUACCUACCCUUGACAUCCUCGGAAGCCGGAAGAGAUUCCGGUGUGCCUUCGGGAGCCGAGAGACAGGUGCUGCAUGGCUGUCGUCAGCUCGUGUUGUGAAAUGUUGGGUUAAGUCCCGUAACGAGCGCAACCCCUGUCCCUAUUUGCCAGCACGUGAUGGUGGGAACUCUAGGGAGACUGCCGGUGACAAACCGGAGGAAGGUGGGGACGA